RNAcentral lists this ribosomal RNA (538 nucleotides) under Nigrospora oryzae. RNAcentral's name for it is "partial large subunit ribosomal RNA". It matches the Rfam family "Eukaryotic large subunit ribosomal RNA", at positions 109 to 671 of the family's 3401-position model. Lineage: Eukaryota; Fungi; Ascomycota; Sordariomycetes; Amphisphaeriales; Apiosporaceae. The record is from RNAcentral.
UCAAAUUUGAAAUCUGGCCCUCGGGUCCGAGUUGUAAUUUGUAGAGGAUGCUUUUGGUGCGGUGCCUUCCGAGUUCCCUGGAACGGGACGCCUUAGAGGGUGAGAGCCCCGUACGGUUGGACGCCUAGCCUCUGUAAAGCUCCUUCGACGAGUCGAGUAGUUUGGGAAUGCUGCUCUAAAUGGGAGGUAUAUUUCUUCUAAAGCUAAAUACUGGCCAGAGACCGAUAGCGCACAAGUAGAGUGAUCGAAAGAUGAAAAGCACUUUGAAAAGAGGGUUAAAUAGCACGUGAAAUUGUUGAAAGGGAAGCGUUUAUCACCAGACUUUUUCUGGGGGGAUCAUCCGGUGUUCUCACCGGUGCACUUCCCCCAGUGGAGGCCAGCAUCGGUUUUCGGAGGGGGAUAAAAGCUUCGGGAAUGUGACUCCCUCGGGAGUGUUAUAGCCCGUUGCAUAAUACCCUUCUGGGGACCGAGGUUCGCGCAUCUGCAAGGAUGCUGGCAUAAUGGUGAUCAACGACCCGUCUUGAAACACGGACCAAGG